UGGGGAAUAUUGCACAAUGGGCGCAAGCCUGAUGCAGCCAUGCCGCGUGUAUGAAGAAGGCCUUCGGGUUGUAAAGUACUUUCAGCGGGGAUGAAGGGAGUAAAGUUAAUACCUUUGCUCAUUGACGUUACCCGCAGAAGAAGCACCGGCUAACUCCGUGCCAGCAGCCGCGGUAAUACGGAGGGUGCAAGCGGUAAUCGGAAUUACUGGGCGUAAAGCGCACGCAGGCGGUUUGUUAAGUCAGAUGUGAAAUCCCCGGGCUCAACCUGGGAACUGCAUCUGAUACUGGCAAGCUUGAGUCUCGUAGAGGGGGGUAGAAUUCCAGGUGUAGCGGUGAAAUGCGUAGAGAUCUGGAGGAAUACCGGUGGCGAAGGCGGCCCCCUGGACGAAGACUGACGCUCAGGUGCGAAAGCGUGGGGAGCAAACA
Molecule: ribosomal RNA, 427 nt
Filed under: uncultured bacterium
Lineage: Bacteria
Description: partial 16S ribosomal RNA
Rfam family: Bacterial small subunit ribosomal RNA
Source: RNAcentral